Molecule: ribosomal RNA, 394 nt
Filed under: Lepidocybium flavobrunneum (escolar)
Lineage: Eukaryota; Metazoa; Chordata; Actinopteri; Scombriformes; Gempylidae
Description: partial 12S ribosomal RNA
Rfam family: Bacterial small subunit ribosomal RNA
Source: RNAcentral
ACUAUGCCUAGCCGUAAAUACCGAUAGAACUAUACAUCAUCUAUCCGCCUGGCAACUACGAGCACCAGCUUGAAACCCAAAGGACUUGGCGGUUCUUUAGAUCCGUCUAGAGGAGCCUGUUCUAUAACCGAUAAACCCCGUUCAACCUCACCCUCCCUAGUCUCUUCCGCCUAUAUACCGCCGUCGUAAGCUUACCCUGUGAAGGCCUAAUAGUUAGCAAAAUUGGCACAGCCCAGAACGUCAGGUCGAGGUGUAGCGUAUGAGAGGGGAAGAAAUGGGCUACAUUCGCUAAUACAGCGAAUACGAACGAUGCACUGAAAACAUGCACCCGAAGGAGGAUUUAGCAGUAAGUGGGAAAUAGAGUGUUCCACUGAAAUUCGGCUCUGAAGUGCGC